Molecule: long non-coding RNA, 113 nt
Organism: Sinocyclocheilus grahami
Lineage: Eukaryota; Metazoa; Chordata; Actinopteri; Cypriniformes; Cyprinidae
Exons: 3
Source: RefSeq, a predicted model, not a curated record
UGUGUGAGUGAGUGGUUGCGGGUGGAGAGCUAGCGUUUGGCUACUUUUUGGUACACGGCUGUGGUGAGCUUUUUCAUCUUUUUCACAUGCAUGAAAAAGGAACUCCUAGAGGA